AUUGAACGCUGGCGGCAGGCCUAACACAUGCAAGUCGAGCGGAGCGGCGGACGGGUGAGUAAUGCCUAGGAAUCUGCCUGGUAGUGGGGGAUAACGUCCGGAAACGGGAGCUAAUACCGCAUACUAUCAGAUGAGCCUAGGUCGGAUUAGCUAGUUGGUGGGGGAAAGGCGUACCAAGGCGACGAUCCGUAACAGGUCUGAGAGGGUGAUCAGUCACACUGGGACUGAGACACGGGCCAGACUCCUACGGGAGGCAGCAGUAGGGAAUAUUGGACAAUGGGCGAAAGCCUGAGCCAGCCAUGCCGCGUGUGUGAAGAAGGUCUUCGGAUUGUAAAGCUCUGUAAUUUGGGAAGCGUUACCAACACAAUAAGCAACGGCUAACUUCGUGCCAGCAGCCGCGGUAAUAC
RNAcentral lists this ribosomal RNA (407 nucleotides) under uncultured bacterium. RNAcentral's name for it is "partial 16S ribosomal RNA". It matches the Rfam family "Bacterial small subunit ribosomal RNA", at positions 30 to 526 of the family's 1533-position model. The record is from RNAcentral.